This 358-nucleotide unclassified non-coding RNA is filed under the name fungal sp. RNAcentral describes it as "partial internal transcribed spacer region". Lineage: Eukaryota; Fungi. The record is from RNAcentral.
AAGUCGUAACAAGGUUUCCGGCGAAAGGAUCAUUAACACGUAUCCAACGUUAAAACCCCCCCCCCCGUGAACUUUCAAUCCUGCUCUUGUAACCCGCGUAGUUCGCAAUCUCUGGUAAAUCAUAGCCCGGAAAGUUGUUUUGAUUCAGAGACCUGAGACCAUUCAUAGGCAUUGUUUCCUCAAGCAGUCAGUGUCGGAAAGUGUCACUGAUUGUGCAAGGAUAGCGCUUCACGAUUCCUGUAGACCGUACACUCGGGCAGGAGCUAUGCCAGAGGGUCCCCAUGCCCCCUUAUAACCCCACAGUAAUACAUUGGGUCAAAAAACCGAACAACUGUUAACAAUGGAUAUCUUGGUUCUC